Molecule: transfer RNA, 76 nt
Filed under: bacterium NHP-B
Lineage: Bacteria
Description: tRNA-Lys
Rfam family: tRNA
About the family: Transfer RNA (tRNA) molecules are approximately 80 nucleotides in length. Their secondary structure includes four short double-helical elements and three loops (D, anti-codon, and T loops).
Source: RNAcentral
GGGCGCUUAGCUCAGCUGGUAGAGCAUCUGACUUUUAAUCAGGGGGUCACAGGUUCGAACCCUGUAGCGCCCACCA